AUUGAACGCUGGCGGCAUGCCUUACACAUGCAAGUCGAACGGCAGCACGGGAGCAAUCCUGGUGGCGAGUGGCGAACGGGUGAGUAAUAUAUCGGAACGUGCCCAGUCGUGGGGAUAACGUAGCGAAAGCUACGCUAAUACCGCAUACGAUCUAUGGAUGAAAGCGGGGGAUCGCAAGACCUCGCGCGAUUGGAGCGGCCGAUAUCAGAUUAGGUAGUUGGUGAGGUAAAGGCUCACCAAGCCGACGAUCUGUAGCUGGUCUGAGAGGACGACCAGCCACACUGGGACUGAGACACGGCCCAGACUCCUACGGGAGGCAGCAGUGGGGAAUUUUUGGACAAUGGGCGGCAAGCCUGAUCCAGCAAUGCCGCGUGCAGGAUGAAGGCCUUCGGUUGGUUAAC
RNAcentral lists this ribosomal RNA (401 nucleotides) under uncultured bacterium. Its description in RNAcentral is "bacterial SSU rRNA". It matches the Rfam family "Bacterial small subunit ribosomal RNA", at positions 30 to 430 of the family's 1533-position model. The record is from RNAcentral.